UUGAGCUGGGAUUCUUCUCUUUCUGUCCCUAUUAUUCUUGGGUUUUGUCUUUUCUUUUCAUGGUGUCCCAGAUUUCCCGGACAUUUGAAUCCCUGGUGUCUUGAAUUUUUAGAUAUAACUUUUUCUUUGACCAAUGUAUCAAUUUCUUUCUUUUGUGCCCUAGGCUCUUAUUCCCAUCGCUUGUGUUCUGCUGCUGAUGCUUAUGUCUGUAGUCCCUGUUCUCUUACCUGGAUUUUCCAUCUCCAGGAUUCCUUUGUGUUUUCUUUAUCACUUCUAUUUCCAUUUUCAGGUCUCGAACUGUUUUAGUCAUUUCCCUCACCUGUUUGCUUGUGUUUUCUUGGCUUUCUUUAAGAGAUGUAUUCAUUUCUUCCAGUUGCUUGUUUGUGUUUUCCUGGAUUUCUUUAAGAGAUUUAUUCAUUUCCUCUUCAAGGUUUUAAGGUCAUUUUCUUGUGCUUCAGCUGUGACGGGAUAUUCAUGGUUUGCUGGACUGUGACGGGAUAUUCAUGGUUUGCUGGACUGUGAUGGGAUAUUCAUGGUUUGCUGGACUUUGGUGCCACGUUGCCCUGGCUGUUGUUCCUUGUGUUCUGACACUGGCAUCUAGGCAGCUGGGUUUGGGAUGAAUACAAAUCUAGUUGCUGAUUUCUGAGUUUGUCUUGUUGGAUGGGUGUUCUGUUUCUUGGUUUCUGUUUCCUCUUUUGUCUUCCGGUCUCUGUGUUCUCUGUUUCUGGUGGCCAGUAUGACCUCCGGUUCAGCAGGGGAUCUCAGUCAGACUUGGUGGCUGGACUUGUGACAGAGUGUGGCCUUUUGUCAUCAGGUGUGUCUCUCUGUUCUGAUUGUCAUGGCCUGCACCUGAGCACUGGCUAUCCUCCUACCCAUCUCCCUGGGCUUUGGUUGAGGCUCGGGGUAGAGCACCCGUCUCGCACAUGCCAGGCCCUGGAUGUAGCCUCACCACUUCAGAACAGAAAGGCUGCAGUCCUAGUGUUAAAGCGUCUUCUCCGUUCCGCGUGUUCUCUGCGUCACUGUGCAGCGGCGAUCACUGCAGCGUUUGAACAGCUUGCUGUCCUGGCCACGCUCUGGCUCACUUCCUGCUCAUUAAGAAACUUCUGAGUUCACGUACAUCCCGGGCCUCUUCCCUCGAUGCAGGGCAGCCCGAGCGUCAGACACAGAGCCCGCCAACGCGUAUGUUAUCCAGGCUCCAACUCUACCGGUUACCUGAGAUUGGCCUCUGAUGUCCGGUGAGACAGGACCACACUUCUCCAGUCCUGCUUCUCCUCACCGCCUCGGGAUCAUCCUACCAUGACCUCUGUUUUAGAGCUUCUACUGCGUGCGAAGCACUGCCCCAGGAGCGCAGAAGCCAAAGCUGCUGCCUGGACCAGAGAGGGAAAAGGGAAAAGCUGAGUGCGCCCUAAGUGUGCCCUCUCCAUGACUCCAGGGACGGGAGGGGCGGGGGGCGCAGAGUGCCCACAGGAAAACACACACACACACACACACACACACACACACCCUAAACAGCAUGCGGAGGGCGCCAUCUUGUGGCCAUAAGUGCCAAUUACAAUUGCUAUUGUUUAGUAUGUCAAUUUUUCCUUUUUCUUUUGUAACUUCCUUUUCUAGCUCACACAUAUUUUCUUAGAUAUCGUUAGGAUAGUAUUCAAUAAAGUAUGUCUUUUGUGAUU
Molecule: long non-coding RNA, 1673 nt
Organism: Apodemus sylvaticus (European woodmouse)
Lineage: Eukaryota; Metazoa; Chordata; Mammalia; Rodentia; Muridae
Exons: 2
Source: RefSeq, a predicted model, not a curated record